CCAAACCCGCGGACUGUGGGCUCUUUUACUUAAUUAGCUUCCCAAUUCCUCCCAGCCAUUAUCAACGCUCCCCACCCUCUCCUCCCAGCCUCCCAAUGGCUUAGGAUCAGGCAGCUGUGCCCACUCUCCCCUUCAGGAACCGCCUCUUAGAAUCCAUCUCAAGCUGCCUUCCACGGAGCUGCUAGGCUGCCCUGGACCCUCUCGGUGCCCAGACUUCUCCGGAGCUUGCCGCCAGCCAAGACCAGAACUAGAUCUGGUAGGACACUAAACCAGGAUGAAAAUCCUGCUGUGUCUACAAUUUGAGUACUAAAUAAAAGAUUUGGCAAAUUC
RNAcentral lists this long non-coding RNA (330 nucleotides) under Rattus norvegicus (Norway rat). RNAcentral's name for it is "long non-coding RNA NONRATT002232". Lineage: Eukaryota; Metazoa; Chordata; Mammalia; Rodentia; Muridae. The record is from RNAcentral.